This is a long non-coding RNA of Panicum hallii, 954 nucleotides long. RefSeq lists it as uncharacterized. The record is from RefSeq and is a predicted model, not a curated record. The transcript is spliced from 3 exons. NCBI's taxonomy places the organism in Eukaryota, Viridiplantae, Streptophyta, Magnoliopsida, Poales, Poaceae.
GGUGCGGAGGGAAGCUUUUCGUUCUAGAGGGAAGGGAGGAGCUGAGGAGGGAGAGGAAAAGAGUAAGGCCUCGUUCGUUUCCUCCGGAAUGGCCCGGAACGAGGCCCAGUCCGGACGAAUUGGAAUGGCCCGGAAUGAAGUCAGACCUAGCCCGGAAUUGCUGUUCGGUUGGCCUGGUCUAGAACCAAACCUGAGCCGGAUCAGCCUCCUCCCCCCCUCCACGGUCCGGAACUAAUCCACACCUCCUCCCUCCUGGAACGAAGCCAAGCGAGGCGACGGCUCCGACGUGAAGACCUGGAGGCGGCGACGCGCGAGGCGACAAGGCCGCGACGCGAGGUGACAGCAACGGCGACGGCUACGCUCUCCGCCGCCUUCUCGCUGCUUCCAUACGAAGACAGGCUACACGUCAAUUUGCUGAAAGGGAAAACAACAAAAAGAGCAUAUGUUGAACUGCAGAUUUGUUUAGGGUGAUGGAAUCUUUUUCAGUGCUUGCUGGAUUUGAACUACUCCUUGGGACAUUGUUGGAGAAUUCCUUUUUGGAAUACAAAUAAGCUAGGCCCAAUAUCUCUGCCUGCAGGAUCUGAGGCCUACUAUUGCUGCUAAUACUCAUCCUAUGCUUGCAGAUCUGCUUCAGCGAUGCUGGCAGAAAGAUCCGGCUCUAAGACCACCCUUCGCAGCGAUUGUGAAUAUACUGAAUUCCAUAAAAGAGGUGGUUCGGAGUUCUAGGCAUCACAAGAGACAUUCAUGUUGAUCUUACUCUGGGAGGAGACGAGGCCGUUGAUGCGGCAGUUCUGUUUAGUGUUCCACGCCUUUGCUUUGUCGUCCUUUCUCAUUUUUCAUCUUUGAUAGCGGUGACUUUUAGGCCUUACUUUUUCCCAAAAGUUUUAUCUUUGGUCGUAGUUCAGCGAUAGCUUCAGAAUAUGACCAUAUGAGUUUCAUGUGUUCAUUUUAAGA